UUGUACUUUAUGGGGACGACCAAUAUUUGUUCUUAUUUGUAUUACUUUGUUAAUCAGUAAUUUUUUUAUAAGGGCGAUUUCACGCAAGGCUGUACGUGUUGGCUGUUUUUAUCGAGAAAGCACCGCUUACUUCUUGAACAAAACAGCCGUUUUUAUAAAAUGAUGAAUCUACCCGAACAAUUAUGGGUUUGCUCAAUGCAAGCUUGAGUGAAGUGACCAGAGCAGCACAGAUAUGAUAAAGUUAUCUGGUGAAGAAAUCAAGGAAUUCAGAUUUUAUACGUCAGAAGGACUCAAAUCAGCAUGACAUGACAAGGAAGCAGGCGAUGAACAUGAAUGCAUGCAUGGCAUGUCCAACGAAAUCCAAAUGAUUCGACUGUGUUGGAUAGAUUCAUCAUGAUAUAGUAUUAGAGCUUUCUUGACAGAGCUGGUCGGCGGCCUUGAAGCACAAUUGCUAAAGGCAAGCAGCGGUGUUCCUGUCUUCAGGGUGUGGUUGCCGGUCGAUUACAGCGCAUGAAGCUUUACGCCUCGCUUGAUGGGUACAGGGCUCCACUAUGCAGAACUUAUCCCUCGCAUACCCUGCAAAGUGUUGCUCUGUUUUCAGGCGAUGCAUCUGCUUAGUUGGCUUAAUGCCAACAAAUACAAUAAAAGAAAAAAUAAAGACCCGACCUUCUUCAUGGGAACAGCCAAUAAUUAACCCAAUCUUUUUCUUGUUCACCUGUCAAAUUGUGAUGAUGGCGAUUUCGAGCCAAUGUUGGCUGUUUUCAUCGAGAAAGUAGGCAGGUCCUAUAUCAUGAUGAAUCUACCAAAUCGAUUACGGCGCAACGCAAGUUUUGGCAAAGAGUCGGAGUUAGAGGGGUGCAGUGACCGAAGAUAUAAUACAGACUCAAUUGGCGUAGACCUCGCGAAGAUCAGAUUUAACAGUCAGAAGAAGCUUUUCCGGAAGGCAGAGUUGCGGAGUGGAAAACUUAGACCCAACCAUGCAGCUACGAUGUGAGUGAAGAACUACCAGAACUACAGAGUUCGAUAUCGGACCUGUUACAGUCGCCCAGCUAACAGCCAGCCUGAGUCUUCCAGCUGCAGUCGUAACCGAACCGAGCGGCAGUCACCGCUUUUAGAAUUCAACGCCACUGCAACACCUGAGCUAGCUGUAGUCCUUCAGAGGUUUGUCAUAUAUUUUUAAAAUAUCAACUUUUUAGGCUAGGCGUAAGCUGACACAGCGCCGCAAUGAGUUCAAAGCGUAGAGCAGUAGUUGAAAUUUUAAUAUGAGGGCGAUUUUUGCCAUUCUAGAGACUUUCCUUAUAAAUGUUGUAUAGCUAGCUAAAUUUCUCUGUUUCUGACAUCAGAAAUAAAACUUUAAGCGGUAGGCCUUACAACGUUUAUUAGAGUGGUUAAAUGAAUAAACAUAGUGCA
Pararge aegeria (speckled wood butterfly) is the source of this 1410-nucleotide long non-coding RNA. RefSeq lists it as uncharacterized. The transcript is spliced from 4 exons. The record is from RefSeq and is a predicted model, not a curated record. Lineage: Eukaryota; Metazoa; Arthropoda; Insecta; Lepidoptera; Nymphalidae.